CUAUUACAGUCAGAUACUGCUGCUGGGCCUGUUGCUGAUUUACAAAGAUCAGCUGUUCUGGGUUAAGCAAUAGCAUAUGGGAACUUGUCAGGAACUUCCUUGAAGUAAGCCCUAAACCCUCACAGAUCUGCAGAGCUGCCCAGCGUGGAAGAAGGCGAUUGCAGGACGUAAGAGCAGAUGGAUGCAGAGGGUUCAGCUGCCUGGCUGCGAUGCUCCUGGGUUCCACACGCAUUCUCAGCAGCCCCAGGAGACUCCUGCAGAAUACAGAGUGCAAACCAAGGCUACCCCAUUCUCAUGUAAACACCGUGGCUGCAAACAGUAGGGGAUAUGGCAUAGCAGUUACAGAGCCUUUCCUGAAACAGCUCCUGGAUGUUGGCUAAGGACAUGAAUCUUAUCCUUGCAUAACCUCUCAAGGAUUAUGCUGGGCCUUUACCAGUGUCCUCUGGCCAGCAGACAAAGACGUAUUCAAAAGCUGGACCUUCCCUUUGGUGCCAGCAGUUACUAGAAUAACUCCUUACAAAAGCAACUCUUCAGCAAAAUGUCAGAGUUGUAAAGACAUAUGCUCUUCUCACUGUACCUGAGAUGACUGCCUGCUUCUCAC
This is a long non-coding RNA of Pezoporus occidentalis (night parrot), 601 nucleotides long. RefSeq lists it as uncharacterized. Lineage: Eukaryota; Metazoa; Chordata; Aves; Psittaciformes; Psittacidae. The record is from RefSeq and is a predicted model, not a curated record. The transcript is spliced from 3 exons.